Molecule: long non-coding RNA, 557 nt
Organism: Magnolia sinica
Lineage: Eukaryota; Viridiplantae; Streptophyta; Magnoliopsida; Magnoliales; Magnoliaceae
Exons: 3
Source: RefSeq, a predicted model, not a curated record
AGCAAAUCAAUCCAAUUUCUAGGCCAGGGCGCAUAUAUGGCAGGAAUACCCAAGUAGUGAGUGGUUAGCAAAGCUAGCCAUCGGAUUUCUCUUUUGGUAUUUCUACUCAUGUAAAUUGUGACAGACCCCUUCUACUAACCCCUUUCCUUCCACAUCUCAUUAGUAGGUACUGCCAUGACGGGAGGGCCUGGUGCUUCAAUAGAGAGUUCUGGGAAGAUUCAGCUGCAUAGACAUGGCUCGGGAGAGUUGGAAGAGAAGAAAGGAGAGAAGGAUGGAAGUGGUCUAGUUGCAGAAAUGUUUGGUUGACCUCACAUCAUCCAUCUUCAGUGAGGAUUCCUUGUAUCACAAUUUGUCCGAGGAGGAACUGAUGCGAGUUCAUGAAUAUAAUUUUGACCAUCCUGGUAAUGUCUACCUUUUCCUAAAGUUGGAGAAACAAAAAUUCAUGUAGAAUAUCUAAAAUGUGCAUGUCAUGUUGUAGUGGUAUUUUGAGUCAAAAUUCUGGCACCUGUUUGCUAAUUAUGUUGUGUAUGAAUCAGUGGAAGGAUCCUUACAAAUUG